ACGUAGCCAAGUGGUAAGGCAGAGGAUUGCAAAACCUUUAUUCGCAGGUUCGAUUCCGAUCGC
RNAcentral lists this transfer RNA (63 nucleotides) under Acidobacteriota bacterium. RNAcentral's name for it is "Acidobacteria bacterium tRNA-Cys". It matches the Rfam family "tRNA", at positions 6 to 65 of the family's 71-position model. From Rfam's summary of the family: Transfer RNA (tRNA) molecules are approximately 80 nucleotides in length. Their secondary structure includes four short double-helical elements and three loops (D, anti-codon, and T loops). Further hydrogen bonds mediate the characteristic L-shaped molecular structure. tRNAs have two regions of fundamental functional importance: the anti-codon, which is responsible for specific mRNA codon recognition, and the 3' end, to which the tRNAs corresponding amino acid is attached (by aminoacyl-tRNA synthetases). tRNAs cope with the degeneracy of the genetic code in two manners: having more than one tRNA (with a specific anti-codon) for a particular amino acid; and 'wobble' base-pairing, i.e. permitting non-standard base-pairing at the 3rd anti-codon position. Lineage: Bacteria; Pseudomonadati; Acidobacteriota. The record is from RNAcentral.